ACAUGCAGAGAACUUUCCAGAGAUGGAUUGGUGCCUUCGGGAACUCUGACACAGGUGCUGCAUGGCUGUCGUCAGCUCGUGUCGUGAGAUGUUGGGUUAAGUCCGUAACGAGCGCAACCCUUGUCCUUAGUUACCAGCACGUUAUGGUGGGCACUCUAAGGAGACUGCCGGUGACAAACCGGAGGAAGGUAGGGAUGACGUCAAGUCAUCAUGGCCCUUACGGCCUGGGCUACACACGUGCUACAAUGGUCGGUACAAAGGGUUGCCAAGCCGCGAGGUGGAGCUAAUCCCAUAAAACCGAUCGUAGUCCGGAUCGCAGUCUGCAACUCGACUGCGUGAAGUCGGAAUCGCUAGUAAUCGUGAAUCAGAAUGUCACGGUGAAUACGUUCCCGGGCCUU
This 398-nucleotide ribosomal RNA is filed under the name uncultured Pseudomonas sp. RNAcentral's name for it is "bacterial SSU rRNA". It matches the Rfam family "Bacterial small subunit ribosomal RNA", at positions 984 to 1382 of the family's 1533-position model. The record is from RNAcentral. Lineage: Bacteria; Pseudomonadati; Pseudomonadota; Gammaproteobacteria; Pseudomonadales; Pseudomonadaceae.